CGAGGGCUCGAAUACAUAAGCUCGAAAACACAAGAGUCAGCGGAAGCAACAAUAUCUGAGUACAGACAUAAGUUAGACAAGUUUUGCCUUAAGAAGGCUACCACAAAAGAAACAUUGAUCAAAAAGGCAAGGCCUCCUGCAUGGGAGCCUCCUAACUACUCCUGGUCGUCGGCGGCCUCCACGUAGUAGUAAGCACCCUCAUGGUAGUAGUAGUCAUCGUCGAAGGUGGCGUCUGGAUCCUGGGCUCCACCAUCUGGUUGCAGCUUCUGGGAAGAAUGGAAAGAGGUGGAAAAAGGGGAGCAAAGCAACCGUGAGUACUCAUCCAAAGUACUCGCAAGCAACGAUCUACACUACAUAUGCAUCGGUAUCAAUGACAUGGGCUGUAUAUGUGGACUGAACUGCAGAAUGCCAGAAGAGAAGGGGAAAACCUAGCCUAUCGAAGACUAGCAUCUUCAAGCAGCUCCAAGCAUCUUGCAGCAUCAGAAGAGAUACGAGUAUCAUAAAGUAAAGUAGUAGUAGUGUUAUCAACCUCGGCCAGAGAUCCUUUCUCGACUCCCUGCGAGAAAGCAAUCCCAGAGCCAUACUAUCCAGUUACCACCUCAAGUAUCCAGUUCUAGUUGUAUCGAUCGGGAUACAACUCCGAAUGUCCGUUACCAUAGGACAGGCUAUCGAUAAAUGUUUUCUUCCCUGCAAGGGUGCACCAACUUACCCACCACGCUUGAUUAACUCCGUCCGAACACACUUUCCUGGGUCAUGCCUGGCCUCGGCCAAACAAUACACCGCAACCCGACCUAGGCUUAAUAGAGAGGUGAGCAUGCCGGACUAAACCUAUGCCCCCAGGGGUCAUGGGCCAUCGCCCCGGGAACUCCUGCACAUUGCGAACGCGGCUGGUGAGCAGACCUAGCUACCUCCUUAAAAAAGGCAGGUGCUUACCUAUCCAAUCCGGCGCGCGCCGCUCAGUCGCUAACGUCUAUUAAGCUUCGGCUGAUGCAUACGACGUAGAACGCCCAUACUAUGCCCACGUGAUGGUUAGUGCUAUCAGGCAAGAGGCCCCUCGGAUCAAAUAUCCAAAUCGUAGUGGAUUAGGAACGCACGGUAACAAGCAGAGACUCACAAAAGAUGUGAUCCCGUUGCCCCGUCUCGAGGACUUGCGGCAAGGGCUAGGAAUGCCUGGCCAUGCCUCGUAAUUAUCUCGCGGGCACCCUCCAGGUCAACCCGUCUCCACAUCACUCGCGGGUACCCCUCAGGGUCGACCCACCUUUCCAAGUAACACUUGUAAAGUCCAAGUAUUUGUGUGUCCAAACAUCAAGGGGAAAACCUGAGGAAUCACCCCCGGCGGAUUCCACUCGAUGUAAUCAUCAAGGUGAACGUAAGAGGAUCCACCCUCGAGGUUCACACUUGAGGGGUUGCACGACAGAGUCAUAUCUGAAGUGGUUAAGGCGGAAUCACCCUCGAUGACCACGACCGUAUAACUACACUAACGGGUUAACAUCAGAAGUGCGGAUGAGGUCUCACCCUCGACAGUCAAUAGUAACCCAGUAAUGUCGAGCAACUAAGGGGAAGUGAUGUGCGGUGCCGGGGCCUGGUAUUAGAUCCCGUUGAUCGGGUCUUCGAUGAUGAAGCAGGGGAAACAAGGACAAGGUGGGGGUCACUGAUGGAUCACUAACCAACCUAUACUAAGAAGUUUAGGAUAAGCAGGUAAGGUAACAAUAAGCAGGUUACAAAAGCAGGCUAUGCAUCAGAAUAGGAGCAAACAAUAACAGUAGCAAAAUCUAAUGCAAGCAUGAGAGAAUUGAAUGGGCAAUAUCGGGAUGAUCAAAGGGGGGGCUUGCCUGGAAGCUCUGCGGCAAAGGCAGGGUCGUUAGUGGUGUCGUCGGUUACGUAGUCGAUAACAGGGGCAGCAUCAGUCUCAGGGUCUACCGCCGAGAAGAAGGAGAUAAAACAGUAAAUAUAAAGCAAACAUAGCAUCACAAAGCAUAACGUGGCAAUAUGCUGUGCCGGGUGUGACCUAACGUAUGGCUACACGAUAUAGGUGAAGGGGGAAAUCAACCGGGAAUGUUUUCCUAGUUCCGGACCUGUGUUAGACAGAUGACCGGAGGUGGAAUGUUCCAUGUUCAAAUAGUUAAGAGGCAUCUGACAAGUAAACGGACUGCAUAUUUGGAUUAUCCCGUCGUUCUGAGCAACUUUCAUGUAGAAAACAUUUUCAUCCGAGUUACGGUUUAAGUUCUAUGAAUUUCCAUAGUUUUAGCAAUCUUCAGAAAUUCCUAGAAUUACUUUAAUCUCGAAAAUCUCCAGAAAACGUUGGGUGCACCAGGUGCACUGCACCCAGAGUGCACCAGAGGGGCUGACAGUGGGGCCAGUCAACUACAGACAUAGCAGUUGACUGGUCAAUGGUUGACUAGUCAGUGGGUCUAGUGGGACCCGCAUGUCAUUGACUCAACGCUAGUUAACAUUUUUCUUAAACAAAACUUAACUGAUUAGUUAGUGGCCUCGGGCCCACUGUCAUGGACUAAUAGGGGGGUUAGUGCCUAAUUACGAGCCACGUCAGCGCCUAGUCGGCGACUAACGCCGGCGCUAAUCCAGCGCAGCGGAGGAGCUCCGGCCGGUCGAUUUCGGCAGCAGGUGGACGCGCGACGGGGUCCGUUGGGCAGCGGCCGUUGCGGCGCGCCCAACGGUGGGGACGGCCGGCGCCGGGGUGGACUACAGGGGGGCGGCGGGCGACUGCAGCCGCAGCACAAAGCAGCGAGAGGCGGCGGUGGCAGCGAGCGGGGACGGGGCCCAGGCGCGGCGCGGGCGGCUGCCUCGCGCGGGUGUGCACCCGCUGAAGGGGUGGACAUGGGAGCAGAGCAGCGGCGGCAACGCGGCAGCAUCAAGCAGAAGCAACGGUGGCGUAUUGCGUCUACGACACGGAAAGAAGGGGGAAGCAGAGGUAGGACGCGGGGUGCUCACCGCGUAGGCACAAUGAGGCCCCG
Molecule: long non-coding RNA, 2972 nt
Filed under: Triticum aestivum (bread wheat)
Lineage: Eukaryota; Viridiplantae; Streptophyta; Magnoliopsida; Poales; Poaceae
Description: long non-coding RNA (TAES_LNC008189)
Source: RNAcentral